UACGGAGGGUGCGAGCGUUGUCCGGAAUCACUGGGCGUAAAGGGCGCGUAGGCGGCCUGGUAAGUAGGGGGUGAAAUCCUGCGGCUUAACCGCAGGGCUGCCUUCUAAACUGUCAGGCUAGAGCACGGUAGAGGCAGAUGGAAUUCCCGGUGUAGCGGUGGAAUGCGUAGAGAUCGGGAAGAACAUCAGUGGCGAAGGCGGUCUGCUGGGCCGUUGCUGACGCUGAGGCGUGACAGCGUGGGGAGCAAACAGG
Molecule: ribosomal RNA, 253 nt
Filed under: uncultured bacterium
Lineage: Bacteria
Description: partial 16S ribosomal RNA
Rfam family: Bacterial small subunit ribosomal RNA
Source: RNAcentral